This 274-nucleotide ribosomal RNA is filed under the name uncultured bacterium. RNAcentral describes it as "partial 16S ribosomal RNA". It matches the Rfam family "Bacterial small subunit ribosomal RNA", at positions 523 to 796 of the family's 1533-position model. The record is from RNAcentral.
AUACGGAGGGGGUUAGCGUUGUUCGGAAUUACUGGGCGUAAAGCGCACGUAGGCGGAUUGGAAAGUUGGGGGUGAAAUCCCAGGGCUCAACCCUGGAACUGCCUCCAAAACUAACAGUCUAGAGUUCGAGAGAGGUGAGUGGAAUUCCAAGUGCAGAGGUGAAAUUCGUAGAUAUUUGGAGGAACACCAGUGGCGAAGGCGGCUCACUGGCUCGAUACUGACGCUGAGGUGCGAAAGCGUGGGGAGCAAACAGGAUUAGAUACCCCAGUAGUCC